GGCAACAGGAAAUUAGUCAAACAAUACCUUUUGUUGAUGUUGUUAAUAAUCCUGAAAAAGUUGAAUCUUCGGCCAAGAUUUCACUAGACAGGGUGACCUUUUUAGAUUGCCUGGCUGAAUUUUCCUUGAACCAAUGGUGCUAUAAAAGAAGACGAAAAGAAGUGUUUAAUAUUUUUUGCACGGGCAACAGAAAAGUACUGAAAGGUGGCUGUUGCCUGCAUUCACAGUCUGACUUGCCUACUCACGCCUCAGGACUGCAGGAUGAGCAAUUGAGUCAUUUGAUCACUGGCCGCUUGUUCAGUCUUAAUACACAGGCUAACCGGACCCAACACAAGUUCUGACUGCCGGAUCCCAGCGGACUAUUCAAGUAGAGCUGGCUGAUAUAUUAGCUGGAUCGUGUAUGGGUCCUUCACUAGCUUCCUCUUCAGAAUAUUUGGGGGCCCAGAAAUGACUCUAAGGAUAAUCUGAAGAGGAGCCCAUAAGGCUUCGAAAAUGAUUGAAGUAAUAAUGUUUUCUUUACCAUCAUCUUCAGGAAUGUAAUUAAUUUAAAUAAAUCUUAUACAAUUUAUAACAUCUUGUUUUUAUUUCUUUUAUUACUUUACCAUCCAAUAUCUUCAUUUAUCACAAAAUUGUAUUAUAACAAAUCAACAAAGAGAAAAGUAGAAAAGUAAGAAUUAUAAUUAUUAAUUUUUGCUGUUUCAUUCAAUACUAUACAUUUAUAUCAUCCCAGUUAGUAUUUACCCUAAUCUAUAUAACUAUAACAAAAGAAUAAACACAUAAUAUGAAAAAAU
Long non-coding RNA from Cimex lectularius (bed bug), 791 nucleotides. RefSeq lists it as uncharacterized. The record is from RefSeq and is a predicted model, not a curated record. The transcript is spliced from 3 exons. NCBI's taxonomy places the organism in Eukaryota, Metazoa, Arthropoda, Insecta, Hemiptera, Cimicidae.